Molecule: ribosomal RNA, 2895 nt
Filed under: Pseudomonas sp. UC 17F4
Lineage: Bacteria; Pseudomonadati; Pseudomonadota; Gammaproteobacteria; Pseudomonadales; Pseudomonadaceae
Description: bacterial LSU rRNA
Rfam family: Bacterial large subunit ribosomal RNA
Source: RNAcentral
AUAUGGUCAAGUGAAGAAGCGCAUACGGUGGAUGCCUUGGCAGUCAGAGGCGAUGAAAGACGUGGUAGCCUGCGAUAAGCUUCGGGGAGUCGGCAAACAGACUUUGAUCCGGAGAUCUCUGAAUGGGGGAACCCACUCAGCAUAAGCUGAGUAUCUUGUACUGAAUACAUAGGUGCAAGAGGCGAACCAGGGGAACUGAAACAUCUAAGUACCCUGAGGAAAAGAAAUCAACCGAGAUUCCCUUAGUAGUGGCGAGCGAACGGGGACUAGCCCUUAAGUGGCUUUGAGAUUAGCGGAACGCUCUGGAAAGUGCGGCCAUAGUGGGUGAUAGCCCUGUACGCGAAAAUCUCUUAGUCAUGAAAUCGAGUAGGACGGAGCACGAGAAACUUUGUCUGAAUAUGGGGGGACCAUCCUCCAAGGCUAAAUACUACUGACUGACCGAUAGUGAACCAGUACCGUGAGGGAAAGGCGAAAAGAACCCCGGAGAGGGGAGUGAAAUAGAUCCUGAAACCGUAUGCGUACAAGCAGUGGGAGCCUACUUUGUUAGGUGACUGCGUACCUUUUGUAUAAUGGGUCAGCGACUUAUAUUCAGUGGCGAGCUUAACCGAAUAGGGGAGGCGUAGCGAAAGCGAGUCUUAAUAGGGCGUUUAGUCGCUGGGUAUAGACCCGAAACCGGGCGAUCUAUCCAUGGGCAGGUUGAAGGUUAGGUAACACUGACUGGAGGACCGAACCGACUACCGUUGAAAAGUUAGCGGAUGACCUGUGGAUCGGAGUGAAAGGCUAAUCAAGCUCGGAGAUAGCUGGUUCUCCUCGAAAGCUAUUUAGGUAGCGCCUCAUGUAUCACUGUAGGGGGUAGAGCACUGUUUCGGCUAGGGGGUCAUCCCGACUUACCAAACCGAUGCAAACUCCGAAUACCUACAAGUGCCGAGCAUGGGAGACACACGGCGGGUGCUAACGUCCGUCGUGAAAAGGGAAACAACCCAGACCGUCAGCUAAGGUCCCAAAGUUAUGGUUAAGUGGGAAACGAUGUGGGAAGGCUUAGACAGCUAGGAGGUUGGCUUAGAAGCAGCCACCCUUUAAAGAAAGCGUAAUAGCUCACUAGUCGAGUCGGCCUGCGCGGAAGAUGUAACGGGGCUCAAACCAUACACCGAAGCUACGGGUAUCACUUAGGUGAUGCGGUAGAGGAGCGUUCUGUAAGCCUGUGAAGGUGAGUUGAGAAGCUUGCUGGAGGUAUCAGAAGUGCGAAUGCUGACAUGAGUAACGACAAUGGGAGUGAAAAACUCCCACGCCGAAAGACCAAGGUUUCCUGCGCAACGUUAAUCGACGCAGGGUUAGUCGGUCCCUAAGGCGAGGCUGAAAAGCGUAGUCGAUGGAAAACAGGUUAAUAUUCCUGUACUUCUGGUUAUUGCGAUGGAGGGACGGAGAAGGCUAGGCCAGCUUGGCGUUGGUUGUCCAAGUUUAAGGUGGUAGGCUGAGAUCUUAGGUAAAUCCGGGAUCUUAAGGCCGAGAGCUGAUGACGAGUUGCCAUUAGGCGACGAAGUGGUUGAUGCCAUGCUUCCAAGAAAAGCUUCUAAGCUUCAGAUAACCAGGAACCGUACCCCAAACCGACACAGGUGGUUGGGUAGAGAAUACCAAGGCGCUUGAGAGAACUCGGGUGAAGGAACUAGGCAAAAUGGCACCGUAACUUCGGGAGAAGGUGCGCCGGUGAGGGUGAAGGACUUGCUCCGUAAGCCCAUGCCGGUCGAAGAUACCAGGCCGCUGCGACUGUUUAUUAAAAACACAGCACUCUGCAAACACGAAAGUGGACGUAUAGGGUGUGACGCCUGCCCGGUGCCGGAAGGUUAAUUGAUGGGGUUAGCUAACGCGAAGCUCUUGAUCGAAGCCCCGGUAAACGGCGGCCGUAACUAUAACGGUCCUAAGGUAGCGAAAUUCCUUGUCGGGUAAGUUCCGACCUGCACGAAUGGCGUAACGAUGGCGGCGCUGUCUCCACCCGAGACUCAGUGAAAUUGAAAUCGCUGUGAAGAUGCAGUGUAUCCGCGGCUAGACGGAAAGACCCCGUGAACCUUUACUAUAGCUUUGCACUGGACUUUGAAUUUGCUUGUGUAGGAUAGGUGGGAGGCUUUGAAGCGUGGACGCCAGUUCGCGUGGAGCCAUCCUUGAAAUACCACCCUGGCAACUUUGAGGUUCUAACUCAGGUCCGUUAUCCGGAUCGAGGACAGUGUAUGGUGGGUAGUUUGACUGGGGCGGUCUCCUCCUAAAGAGUAACGGAGGAGUACGAAGGUGCGCUCAGACCGGUCGGAAAUCGGUCGUAGAGUAUAAAGGCAAAAGCGCGCUUGACUGCGAGACAGACACGUCGAGCAGGUACGAAAGUAGGUCUUAGUGAUCCGGUGGUUCUGUAUGGAAGGGCCAUCGCUCAACGGAUAAAAGGUACUCCGGGGAUAACAGGCUGAUACCGCCCAAGAGUUCAUAUCGACGGCGGUGUUUGGCACCUCGAUGUCGGCUCAUCACAUCCUGGGGCUGAAGCCGGUCCCAAGGGUAUGGCUGUUCGCCAUUUAAAGUGGUACGCGAGCUGGGUUUAGAACGUCGUGAGACAGUUCGGUCCCUAUCUGCCGUGGACGUUUGAGAUUUGAGAGGGGCUGCUCCUAGUACGAGAGGACCGGAGUGGACGAACCUCUGGUGUUCCGGUUGUCACGCCAGUGGCAUUGCCGGGUAGCUAUGUUCGGAAGAGAUAACCGCUGAAAGCAUCUAAGCGGGAAACUUGCCUCAAGAUGAGAUCUCACUGGAGCCUUGAGCUCCCUGAAGGGCCGUCGAAGACUACGACGUUGAUAGGUUGGGUGUGUAAGCGCUGUGAGGCGUUGAGCUAACCAAUACUAAUUGCCCGUGAGGCUUGACCAU